GCCGUAGACCCGCGACCUGGAGCAGCUCAGAGGCGGUGAAUAAUAGCUUUUCAUGUCUGCAAUAAAAAAUGGCCUCCAAUAAAACUACAUUGCAAAAAAUGGGAAAGAAACAGAAUGGGAAGAGUAAAAAGGUUGAAGAGGCAGAGCCUGAAGAAUUUGUGGUGGAAAAAGUACUGGAUCGACGUGUUGUAAAUGGGAAAGUGGAGUAUUUCCUGAAGUGGAAGGGAUUUACAGAUGCUGACAAUACUUGGGAACCUGAAGAAAAUUGGAUUGUCCAGUUAAUCGAAGCAUUUCUUAAUUCUCAAAAAGCUGGUAAAGGAAAAGAUGGUACAAAAAGAAAAUCUUUAUCUGACAGUGAAUCUGAUGAUAGCAAAUCAAAGAAGAAAAGAGAUGCUGCUGACAAACCAAGAGGCUUUGCCAGAGGUCUUGAUCCUGAAAGAAUAAUUGGUGCCACAGAUAGCAGUGGAGAAUUAAUGUUUCUUAUGAAAUGGAAAGAUUCAGAUGAGGCAGAUAUGGUGCUGGCAAAAGAGGCAAAUAUGAAGUGUCCUCAAAUUGUAAUUGCUUUUUAUGAAGAGAGACUAACUUGGCAUUCUUGUCCAGAAGAUGAAGCUCAAUAAUUGUUUGCAUUGCUCACUCGCGCGCGCACGCUCGCUCGCUCGCGCUCUCUCUCUCUCUCUCUCUCUCUAUAUAUAUAUAUAAAAUCUAGGUCUUGGUUUUUGAUUUACUAGUGUGAAGAAAAUAACUACAUCUAAUAAAUCAAGUUUGAUACAUUUGUUUUGAAAGUAGUAUUGAGAGAGUUGUUGGGGGGGUUGCAUCAAUAGCACUGGUUACUUUGAAAAAAUAAAAGCUUUCUGUAGUUGCUUCCUUUAUCAGAAAGAAAAAAAAAAAAAAAAACUAACCCAAGAGGAAAAAACCUGAAAGCCCAACAACUAAUGAAGAGAACUAUAAUAGCUAGUCUUACCACCCCUUCAAUGAAUAAUCAUUCUUUUAUUGGGGAAGGCAGGGAGGGGUUAAGUUCUUAAAUGCAGUAUGAAAAACAAUAGGACAAAGUAACAUAUCCAUCACCCUGAAAGACAAUUUUUAGCAUUUUGCUACAUUUGCUUCAAGUCGUUUUUAUAUGAAAGAAGAAAAAACUACAGAUAAUAACAACUACAAAUAUGUCUUUAAUGUUACCCUGUAGCACUUCUAUGUUAAGGCAGGAUCUCCAGAUCUGAGAUCUCCGAGAGGAAAUGAGCAACAGGAGCCAGCCCUCAUGGGGCUCCCAGGAGUGGGAAACCAGGGUCACCUAGUGAGACUGUCCACCUCCACACCCACAACAGUGUGAGACAGGUGUAACUAUUCUGUUCCAUAAGUACAGAGACUAACACCUGGGUCAUCCAGCUAGGAGAUAGGCAACACUCAGACACAGACAAUCUACUUCAGGUAUCACCUCCCACAGGUCUCUCAGACACAGACAACCUACUUCAGGUAUCACCUCCCACAGGUCUCUGAUGAGGAGUGAAUGAAUAAAGCACACACAGAGGCAGUCUACCUUAUUCUCGAAAUAUAAGUUCCAUGUAUUCUCCUCCAGAGGCAAUAUCCAUCAUGAAUUUACUAUACAUCCUCCCAGUCUGUAGUAUAUAUCCAUUAACACAGAAUUAUGGCACGUGGUUUGUAUUUCUAUAAAUCCUACGUUAUGCCUUUGCUCUGCAAUUUGAUCACUCAACAUAUUUUUAUCUGUGUUGAUAUGUAUAAAUAUAGCUCAGUCUUUAACUACUGUGUAUCAUUCAUCACGUAAAUAUUUCAUAAAUUGUUUAAGCUAUUUAUAAAAGAUGAUGGAAAUACAGAACACAGAAAAUGAUGUAAAGUUUCCCAAAAACAUUAUGCAAUGUUGGCAUAACCCUCAUACCAAAACCAGAAAACAAAAAAGGGUAUAAAAAAAAGCUAUAGAUCAAGAUCAAUCAAGAAUUAUUUUAAAAAAAUAGAAGUAAAUCAAACCCAUCCACUACUAAGUUAGAAGAAUAAGAUACCAUGGCCAAAGAGGGUUUAUCCAAAAAUGUAAGGAUGACUCAAUAUCAGUAACUCGAUUAAUGUUGUCACCAUGUUAGCAGAUUACAGAAGAUUUUUGGUGAAGAUGGCUAAAUUUUUUUUUUUUUUAAGAGACAAGUUCUCAUUCUGUCACCUAGGCUACAGUGCAGCAGUAUGAUCA
Molecule: non-coding RNA, 2188 nt
Organism: Microcebus murinus (gray mouse lemur)
Lineage: Eukaryota; Metazoa; Chordata; Mammalia; Primates; Cheirogaleidae
Source: RefSeq, a predicted model, not a curated record